GACGAACCACACAACCGUUAUUCGGAAUUACUGGGCUUAAAGGGUGCGUAGGCGGCGCGGAAAGUUGGGUGUGAAAUCCCUCGGCUCAACCGAGGAACUGCGCCCAAAACUACCGUGCUCGAGGGAGAUAGAGGUGAGCGGAACUUAGGGUGGAGCGGUGAAAUGCGUUGAUAUCCUAGGGAACACCCGUGGCGAAAGCGGCUCACUGGGUCUCUUCUGACGCUGAGGCACGAAAGCUAGGGUAGCGAACGGG
RNAcentral lists this ribosomal RNA (253 nucleotides) under uncultured bacterium. Its description in RNAcentral is "partial 16S ribosomal RNA". It matches the Rfam family "Bacterial small subunit ribosomal RNA", at positions 524 to 776 of the family's 1533-position model. The record is from RNAcentral.